This 62-nucleotide transfer RNA is filed under the name Teloganodidae sp. MT-2014. RNAcentral's name for it is "tRNA-Gly". The record is from RNAcentral. Lineage: Eukaryota; Metazoa; Arthropoda; Insecta; Ephemeroptera; Teloganodidae.
UUUUGUUUAAUAUAAAAAGUAUAGUUGAUUUCCAAUCAAACAGUCUAUUGUUAGAACAAAAA